AAUGAACGUUGGCGGCAUGGAUUAGGCAUGCGAGUCGGGGGAAUCCCAGCAAUGGGGGAAUCGGCGUAAGGGGCAGUACGGCUUGGGUACCUACCUAGGGGUUCGGGAUAGCCAUCAGAGAUGGUGGGUAAUACCGGAUGACGUCGUGAGCCCAAGGAUAUAUCGCCCUUUGAGGGGCCCAUGUGUUAUUAGCUCGUUGGUGGGUUAACGGACAACCAAGGCGAAGAGGUCUAGCGGGUGUGAGAGCACGACCCGCGCCACUCGCACUGGGACACUGGCGAGACACCUACGGGUGGGUGCAGGGGAGGAUGUUCGUCAAUGAGCGCAAGCUUGACCGAGCGAUGCCGGGUGAGCGAUGAAGGCCUUCGGGUUGGAAAGCUCUUGAGUGGGGGAAAAAAGCCGCAAGGUGUGAUCUAUCCCAAAAAUAAGCACGGGCUAAGUUCGUGCCAGCAGCCGCAGUAA
RNAcentral lists this ribosomal RNA (462 nucleotides) under uncultured bacterium. Its description in RNAcentral is "partial 16S ribosomal RNA". It matches the Rfam family "Bacterial small subunit ribosomal RNA", at positions 29 to 523 of the family's 1533-position model. The record is from RNAcentral.